This 460-nucleotide long non-coding RNA is filed under the name Cottoperca gobio. Its description in RNAcentral is "lncRNA (ENSCGOG00000004784.1)". The record is from RNAcentral. Lineage: Eukaryota; Metazoa; Chordata; Actinopteri; Perciformes; Bovichtidae.
GCGCUGCCACCAUCUCUGGAGGAGCUCAAGAUUAACAACAACAAGCUCAGUGCACUCACCCCUCACUGUUUCAAAGGUUUGAUCAACCUGUUGAUUCUGGAGCUGGAGGAAAAUACUCUCCAUGAGGGCAGUGUGUCGCCACUAACCUUCAGACCACUAAAGAGACUUCUGGACCUCCAGCUGGACAACAACCGCUUUCGUUCCCUCCCCAUGGGCCUUCCUCCCUCUCUUCAGGAGCUGGAGAUGAAUGAAAAUCUGAUUGAGGAGGUGACAGAGGAGACCCUGAAGGGCUGUGUACAUUUAAAAGUGCUGGACCUGAGUCACAACCUUCUGCAUGAGCAAGGCAUCGCAACCCACGCCUGGUCCCGUCUCAAGACCCUGGAGGCCUUGGACCUUUCUUACAACCGGUUCACCUCGGUCCCAAUGGAUCUUCCACGGCGUCUUCAGAAACUGACCCUCC